UGUUAAAAGAUCCAUCCAUUUUGACAGUUAAAAACUGACAGAAUAAUCAAACAAUUACACAUAACACAUAUACCUCAUCCUAAUGCACAUGGACUAGUUUUUAACUGUAGAAAUGAUUAAACUUUUUAACA
This 131-nucleotide microRNA precursor is filed under the name Gossypium barbadense (sea-island cotton). RNAcentral's name for it is "MIR7502 microRNA precursor family". It matches the Rfam family "MIR7502 microRNA precursor family". The record is from Rfam by way of RNAcentral. RNAcentral also lists the same sequence under 1 other name. Lineage: Eukaryota; Viridiplantae; Streptophyta; Magnoliopsida; Malvales; Malvaceae.